Molecule: ribosomal RNA, 445 nt
Filed under: uncultured bacterium
Lineage: Bacteria
Description: bacterial SSU rRNA
Rfam family: Bacterial small subunit ribosomal RNA
Source: RNAcentral
CGCCAGACUCCUACGGGAGGCAGCAGUGGGGAAUAUUGCACAAUGGGGGGAACCCUGAUGCAGCGAUGCCGCGUGGAGGAAGAAGGUUUUCGGAUUGUAAACUCCUUUUAUCAGGGACGAUAAUGACGGUACCUGAAGAAAAAGCUCCGGCUAACUACGUGCCAGCAGCCGCGGUAAUACGUAGGGAGCGAGCGUUGUCCGGAAUUACUGGGUGUAAAGGGAGCGUAGGCGGGGAUGCAAGUUGGAUGUUUAAACUAUCGGCUCAACCGGUAAUUGCAACCAAAACUGCAACUCUUGAGUGGAGUAGAGGCAGGCGGAAUUCCUAGUGUAGCGGUGAAAUGCGUAGAUAUUAGGAGGAACACCAGUGGCGAAGGCGGCCUGCUGGGCUUUAACUGACGCUGAGGCUCGAAAGCGUGGGGAGCAAACAGGAUUAGAUACCCGGGUA